CGCCCUAGUUCUUUUUAUAUGUCAUAACCUUAGACAGCGUGCUGGUUCGCAGAACCAUUUAUGUGUGUGUGUGUGUGUUUGUGUUACCAAGGUGAGGACUUGCUUUGGCAAUUUUGGCAAAAACGAAAAACCCCUAAGAGAUAACUCUUCGGAUGUUAUUGGUGCGUGUUUGUGUGGCUCGAACACAUCGAUGCAGAUAAUUUAUUACAGUCAUAAUUUACUUAUUACAUAUGUGCCAAAAUAAGACACGCGUCGCUUACACUUCUCUAGUUCUGAUGUUGUCCGCGAGAAUGCCUGUAUGAAAUGGGGUGGGGUUGCGAUAUUGGGAUUUGGUGGUCAGGGGCCAUAAAGACUGAAGGCGAGUCCCAUCGUAAAAUGUGUGCAUGUCUCUGAAUGUGCUUUAUGGGGUCCACUGUAAGCGAUGUCUAUUUUUUUUUUUUUUUUUUUUUACAAAUUAUGAUGCAAGUUAAUACUUUUUUUGUAUAACUACCUCAAUACACGUGUUUAUUGAUGUACAUGUCUGUGUUUAGCAGGAAUAACGAAUGUUUUUAUUGUUCUUAGGUGUGUUAGGUAUAUUUCUUAUAAAAUGCGACAGUUGCACAAACAAGACGUGUUUUGAAAGGGUCAUGUGCUGGGUUUAAUGCAAAAGCGUUAUUUCUCCAUUCAGUUCACGAUCACCAUUCCAGUUCUGAAUGAUAUUUGUGUAUGCAACAAAAUUAGAAAUGUUCGGAUUGUGUAAAGAUAGACGCAAAGUCCAAAAACUCAAUGCUACCGAGAUUACGAAGUUCAAAGCUACAGAAAUCUGUCAAUUGCACUUAAACCGCGAGCUCUUCAGAUCGGCGGGCUUUCUCUGCUUUAGGACUGCUGUAUGCUGCACUUUGGAGUUCGGGAGCCGGUAAACCGCGGUCUGUGCAUUUCAUUUUCAUUAAGGGUACAGUGCAGUUAGCGUCCAUGUUUAGGUUUAAAUUCAACAUUCCAGGUUUUGUUUUCUUAUUGAGAUGAAGGGCAGUUGCACUGAUCGGCUAGGAAGCCCUUUGCUGACAAAUGGUAACCUUAACCGUAGAUAAAACGUAACAGGUGCAGAGGCUCCAUUGGGGAGGCUUUUCAACAGUCUGGGCUGAACAUUCACUUUAUUCUCUCAUUGGUUAUACAUGUACUGCUUUUUUUCUGAGUGAUUAAUUUAAGCCAUUCUUUUUUCUCGUUUAGAAUUAAUUUCAGUAUUCUUCAACAAGUAAGAAACUGAGUUAGCCUACAUAACAGCGGAAGUAUAGGUCCUCAUAGGUGCUGCCAACCCAGUGCUUCGUCUUGUUUAUUUGACGUGACUGUGCGCUUCAUGUCGGUAUACUGACGUUUGAAAAAGAGUGUUGCAAUUUGAUCAUUUGCUGACCGCUGCUCAAUACCCCCACCUUAUCAACUAGAGCCCACCCUUAAACAGGUUGCACGAGUCUGUGUCAUAAUCUCACAUUUAUUUGAAACUUGUCAUAUCUAAAAACACAUCAGACAAAGAGAGGCUUCCUGUGUUUCUAUUCAUGUUUCCAUGGACUGCUGAGGGGUCAUUUUCUACAGCCUAAAAAUAAUGGAAAUCAUAUAUGCACCUUGAAUGGGAGACACAUUUACCAUGAAGUGGUCUAUUUGAUGACUUUGCACACAGACCCCAAUAGACUGGAGAAAAGGGGGCAUUCAGAAGCAGGACUGUACCAAGGCCAUACUUUGGCUUAGGUUUAGGGACCCAGUAGUUUUGGCUUUUGAUCGGGCAAGGCUAUGCAAACAACUGCCGACUUUACUGGGUGUCAUUUUAGCUGUGGCCACAAGAGGGACACGUUUUGUUGUAAAUGAAGAUGAAUGUUUACUGUAAUUGUGAUGCUACAUUCGCACAAGACAAAUGUAUUUUUUUAUUGUUAAUAAUAACUGUGUUUCAUAUAAAAGUUCCAAUGUACAGUAUAUUUAUUUAAUGCAAUUGUCCAGGAUUUGUUUUUAAAUAAUAAAAUGUAUUUAAGUC
Erpetoichthys calabaricus (reedfish) is the source of this 1999-nucleotide RNA transcript. It is a transcript of the gene named adrenoceptor beta 2, surface a, with no coding region annotated. The transcript has 2 exons. The record is from RefSeq and is a predicted model, not a curated record. NCBI's taxonomy places the organism in Eukaryota, Metazoa, Chordata, Cladistia, Polypteriformes, Polypteridae.